GAAAAGAAACUAACAAGGAUUCCCCUAGUAGCGGCGAGCGAAGCGGGAAGAGCUCAAAUUUAUAAUCUGGCACCUUCGGUGUCCGAGUUGUAAUCUCUAGAAAUGUUUUCCGCGUUGGACCGCACACAAGUCUGUUGGAAUACAGCGGCAUAGUGGUGAGACCCCCGUAUAUGGUGCGGACGCCCAGCGCUUUGUGAUACAUUUUCGAAGAGUCGAGUUGUUUGGGAAUGCAGCUCAAAUUGGGUGGUAAAUUCCAUCUAAAGCUAAAUAUUGGCGAGAGACCGAUAGCGAACAAGUACCGUGAGGGAAAGAUGAAAAGCACUUUGGAAAGAGAGUUAACAGUACGUGAAAUUGUUGGAAGGGAAACGCUUGAAGUCAGACUUGCUUGCCGAGCAAUCGGUUUGCAGGCCAGCAUCAGUUUUCCGGGAUGGAUAAUGGUAGAGAGAAGGUAGCAGUUUCGGCUGUGUUAUAGCUCUCUGCUGGAUACAUCUUGGGGGACUGAGGAACGCAGUGUGCCUUUGGCGGGGGUUUCGACCUCUUCACACUUAGGAUGCUGGUGGAAUGGCUUUAAACGACCCGUCUUGAAACACGGACCAAGGAGUCUAACAUGCUUGCGAGUAUUUGGGUGUCAAACCCGGAUGCGUAAUGAAAGUGAAUGGAGGUGGGAACCGCAAGGUGCACCAUCGACCGAUCUGGAUUUUUAAUGAUGGAUUUGAGUAAGAGCACGUAUGUUGGGACCCGAAAGAUGGUGAACUAUGCCUGAAUAGGGCGAAGCCAGAGGAAACUCUGGUGGAGGCUCGUAGCGGCUCUGACGUGCAAAUCGAUCGUCAAAUU
This 834-nucleotide ribosomal RNA is filed under the name Rhodotorula mucilaginosa. RNAcentral describes it as "partial large subunit ribosomal RNA". It matches the Rfam family "Eukaryotic large subunit ribosomal RNA", at positions 56 to 911 of the family's 3401-position model. Lineage: Eukaryota; Fungi; Basidiomycota; Microbotryomycetes; Sporidiobolales; Sporidiobolaceae. The record is from RNAcentral.